AGAGUUUGAUCCUGGCUCAGGAUGAACGCUAGCGGCAGGCCUAAUACAUGCAAGUCGAACGGAUCUGAGGACUUCGGUUCUCAGGUUAGUGGCGCACGGGUGCGUAACGCGUAUGCAACCUACCUUUUACUGGGGGAUAGCCCGGAGAAAUCCGGAUUAAUACCGCAUAACACUAUUUGAGGGCAUCCGAAGAUAGUUAAAGAUUUAUUGGUAAAAGAUGGGCAUGCGUGCCAUUAGCUAGUUGGUGGUGUAACGGACCACCAAGGCGACGAUGGCUAGGGGUUCUGAGAGGAUGAUCCCCCACACUGGUACUGAGAUACGGACCAGACUCCUACGGGAGGCAGCAGUAGGGAAUAUUGGGCAAUGGACGCAAGUCUGACCCAGCCAUGCCGCGUGCAGGAUGAAGGCCUUCUGGGUUGUAAACUGCUUUUAUCUAGGAAGAAAAAACCCUUGCGAGGGGAACUGACGGUACUAGGUGAAUAAGCACCGGCUAACUCCGUGCCAGCAGCCGCGGUAAUACGGAGGGUGCAAGCGUUGUCCGGAUUUAUUGGGUUUAAAGGGUGCGUAGGCGGCCCGUUAAGUCCGUGGUGAAAGCCAACAGCUCAACUGUUGAACUGCCAUGGAUACUGACGGGCUUGAGUACAGACGAGGUAGGCGGAAUGGAUGGUGUAGCGGUGAAAUGCAUAGAUACCAUCCAGAACACCGAUUGCGUAGGCAGCUUACUAGGCUGUAACUGACGCUGAGGCACGAAAGCGUGGGGAGCGAACAGGAUUAGAUACCCUAGUAGUCC
Molecule: ribosomal RNA, 790 nt
Filed under: uncultured bacterium
Lineage: Bacteria
Description: bacterial SSU rRNA
Rfam family: Bacterial small subunit ribosomal RNA
Source: RNAcentral